UCACCGCAAUCAAACAUUGGGAAAAGGAAAAAACGCCAUAAAAUAAUGGCGCCAUAAAAAAAUGGCAAUUAAAAACGGCAACUGAAAGAUUUUAAAACCUGUUUUUACAGUAGUAUUUUUAAAGCAGUAUUUUUAAAAUCAGUUCCAAGUUUUUUCUCUUCAUUUU
Molecule: non-coding RNA, 166 nt
Filed under: Thalassiosira antarctica
Lineage: Eukaryota; Bacillariophyta; Thalassiosirophyceae; Thalassiosirales; Thalassiosiraceae
Source: RNAcentral